AAUGGACAACUUCCUAGACAGAUAGUA
Molecule: unclassified non-coding RNA, 27 nt
Filed under: Mus musculus (house mouse)
Lineage: Eukaryota; Metazoa; Chordata; Mammalia; Rodentia; Muridae
Description: oocyte_clustered_small_RNA574
Source: RNAcentral